AGCGGCAAAAGCUCAAAUUUGAAAUCUGGUACCUUCGGUGCCCGAGUUGUAAUUUGGAGAGGGCAACUUUGGGGCCGUUCCUUGUCUAUGUUCCUUGGAACAGGACGUCAUAGAGGGUGAGAAUCCCGUGUGGCGAGGAGUGCGGUUCUUUGUAAAGUGCCUUCGAAGAGUCGAGUUGUUUGGGAAUGCAGCUCUAAGUGGGUGGUAAAUUCCAUCUAAAGCUAAAUAUUGGCGAGAGACCGAUAGCGAACAAGUACAGUGAUGGAAAGAUGAAAAGAACUUUGAAAAGAGAGUGAAAAAGUACGUGAAAUUGUUGAAAGGGAAGGGCAUUUGAUCAGACAUGGUGUUUUGUGCCCUCUGCUCCUUGUGGGUAGGGGAAUCUCGCAUUUCACUGGGCCAGCAUCAGUUUUGGUGGCAGGAUAAAUCCAUAGGAAUGUAGCUUGCCUCGGUAAGUAUUAUAGCCUGUGGGAAUACUGCCAGCUGGGACUGAGGACUGCGACGUAAGUCAAGGAUGCUGGCAUAAUGGUUAUAUGCCGCCCGUCUUGAA
Molecule: ribosomal RNA, 547 nt
Filed under: Saccharomyces cerevisiae (brewer's yeast)
Lineage: Eukaryota; Fungi; Ascomycota; Saccharomycetes; Saccharomycetales; Saccharomycetaceae
Description: partial large subunit ribosomal RNA
Rfam family: Eukaryotic large subunit ribosomal RNA
Source: RNAcentral